Non-coding RNA from Momordica charantia (bitter melon), 496 nucleotides. The record is from RefSeq and is a predicted model, not a curated record. NCBI's taxonomy places the organism in Eukaryota, Viridiplantae, Streptophyta, Magnoliopsida, Cucurbitales, Cucurbitaceae.
CCGAUGCUGCAUUGCUUGGGAAUCUGUUUGGAUCUCUCACCGUCGCCCAAAUUGGCCUCCCCCAUUUCGACUCCAGAAUCUUGCAGAGAAUUAAGGACGAGGUAGAGAAAAGAAAGCUGCAGUGCAUCAACUCGUGCCAUCCAGGGGAGAACCAGUCGAUUCAUCGGGUGCCCGAAGGACACGAACAGUUCCACGAAUGUCUUGGAACAGUCAGAUCGGAAUGCCGAUUGAAUCAACCGGCUCCUGCAAGAGCAGCGGAGCAAGUGAAUGGGCAGCAUAAGGUAUUAUGAGGAGCAAAAUAGGAAGCAGCUGAAAUUUUCCCAUAAACCUAACAACUUUGAAGUUUUCUUUGUGCAAAAACUUCUGUUAGCAAUAUAGAGAGAGCUGCAUAGCUUUUGUUAAAAGUUGUAUUUAUAAUGAUUAUAAGGGGAAAUGAAUUCUGAAGCCCCAUUUUAGUAUUGGGCAUUGAAAUUCCAGAUGCCAUUUUUCAUCACUA